This 337-nucleotide long non-coding RNA is filed under the name Homo sapiens (human). RNAcentral describes it as "LHRI_LNC1849.1". Lineage: Eukaryota; Metazoa; Chordata; Mammalia; Primates; Hominidae. The record is from RNAcentral.
GCCGUCAUCGCGCUUCUCCCGCUUCACGCGCCGCUCGGAGGGCUCUGCCUGGCUGCGCUCCCGCCCGUGCGUGCUGCUCCGGGCCUCAGCUUCGGCCCCGCGCCGCCCGCUCCCGCGCUCGCCCCCACGUUCCCGGCUCCGCUUCCGUCGUUCGCCACCGCUACCGCCACUGCCGCCACUCCGGUGCUUGUGUUUUUUGUGUUCCCGGUGCCGCGGCGGCUGCUCGGUGGCACCCCCGGUGCCGGCCGCCGCCGUCGUCCCGGCCGCCUCCUUCUCUCCGCGAUGCUUCUUGGACGACCCCAUAGUGGCACGUCCACUCCGAGCCCGGCUGCCGCCG